UACGAAGGGGGCUAGCGUUGUUCGGAAUCACUGGGCGUAAAGCGCACGUAGGCGGCUUUCUAAGUCAGGGGUGAAAUCCUGGAGCUCAACUCCAGAACUGCCUUUGAUACUGGAGAGCUUGAGUCCGGAAGAGGUGAGUGGAACUCCGAGUGUAGAGGUGAAAUUCGUAGAUAUUCGGAAAGAACACCAGUGGCGAAGGCGGCUCACUGGUCCGGUACUGACGCUGAGGUGCGAAAAGCGUGGGGGAGCAAAC
Molecule: ribosomal RNA, 253 nt
Filed under: uncultured bacterium
Lineage: Bacteria
Description: partial 16S ribosomal RNA
Rfam family: Bacterial small subunit ribosomal RNA
Source: RNAcentral